This 4870-nucleotide long non-coding RNA is filed under the name Homo sapiens (human). RNAcentral's name for it is "HSALNT0178611". Lineage: Eukaryota; Metazoa; Chordata; Mammalia; Primates; Hominidae. The record is from RNAcentral.
AGACACUUUACCACCCUAGAUCCAGAGGGGCCAGAAGGCCGUCUUAUUCUUAAUAUGCAUUUUAUUAUCCAAUCCACUCCUGACAUUAGAAAAAGCUCCAAAAAUUAGAUUCCGGCCCUCAAACCCCACAACAGGACUUAAUUAACCUUGCCUUCAAGGUGUACAAUAAUAGAGAAGAGGCAGCCGAGCGGCAGUGUAUUUCUCAAUUGCAAUUACUUGCCUCCACUGUGAGAGAAACCCCAGCCACAUCUCCAGCACAUAAGAACUUCAAAACGCCUAAACCAUAGCAGUCAGGCAUUCCUCCUGGACUUUUUCCCCCAGGAUCUUGCUCCAAGUGCUGGAAAUCUGGCCAGUGGGCCAAGGAAUGCCCACAGCCUGGGAUUCCUCCUAAGCCAUGUCCCAUCUGUGCAGGACCCCACUGGAAAUCAGACUGUCCAACUUGCCCAGCAGCCAUUCCUAGAGCCCCUGGAACUCUGGCCCAAGGCUCUCUGACUGACUCCUUCCCAGAUCUUCUCGGCUUAUCAGCUGAGGACUGACGCUGCCCAAUCGCCUCGCAAGCCUCCUGGACCAUCACAGACACUUCAGGGGGCUGGAGCCCUGGGCCAAGGGAGACCUGUGACCCCAGGUGCCGCCGGGAGAACUUCAGCCCAGAGGGGAAAUCAGCUCUCCGUGACCCAGCACCCCUACCCAGCAGCGCAACAGAUCCUGAGAGGAGCUACAGGAUGAUUCUAGAAACAGCGCACUUCAGGAAUCAUGUUGCAGGUGUUGUGCAUUGGAUCCACCACAGUCGGCUGAAACUGACAACUCAAGACAAGUGGACCAGCCAGCAGGACCCAGAUCAUCCAACUCGGCUGAUCCUGAGACGGGACCAAACUGCUGCCGAAGACGACCGCCCUGUUCUGGUCACUCCGGAGGCUAACCAGCCUACGCAUGGCUGAAGUUUGAGGAAACAACAAGCCCUGCUCUAGUCACACACUGAAAGCUGACUAGUCUAUGCACGGCCAAAGCUUGAGGACUCAUCAAGCAAGUAAAUGUAGUUAGAAAUCUUAGAACUAGUAGUUUUCCUUGUAAUAUUAACUGUUUUACUAUUGUUCUGUCACUGUGCUCAACCUCCUCUCCCAAAUAAGGACCUCUUCUGUCCUUACUAGAUAUGAAUAUACUGUACAUUGUUUUACUGUUGUUACCCCACUUAACCAUGCUAGAAGAAACACCCAUAGAAGGGUGUCCCCAUCGUACACAUACUACAUGGUCAGAAAACAGUAUAACCAGGACUCUAUUAUACCAUACUUAUUAUGAGUAUACAGGGACUCACCUAGGAACUUGUACUUACAAUCAGAUCACCUAUUCAAUUUAUGACCCAGGAAAUGGCCAGCUACCUAGGUGGAAGAUAGGUCAUGGAGUUACCGUACUCCUACUUACGUGCUUAAGCGCAUCAUAAGGUUACAGGCAGGGCUUGAGAUCAUCACUAAUAAACAUCAAAUGCAUUAGAUUUACUGACCCAGCAAGCUACAAAAAAUGAGGAAUGCUAUCUAUCAGAACAGAUUAGCUUUAGACUAUCUCCUAGCCCAGGAAGGAGGAGUAUGUGGAAAAUUCAAUCUAACUAAUUGUUGCCUGGAAAUCAAUGACAAUGGAAAGACAUUUAUGGAAAUAACUGCAAGAAUAAGAAAAUUAACCCACGUUCCAGUUCAAACGUAGAAAGGGUGGUCUCCAGAUUCUCUCUUUGGAGGCUGUUUUUCAUUUUUCGGAGGGUUCAAGACUUUAAUAAGAUUGAUUCUGGCCAUACUAGGAAGUUGCCUAAUACUACCUUGUCUCUUACCUCUCCUUGUUAGAAACAUUCAGUCAACUAUAGAGGCAAUAGUAGCUAGGCAAACUACCAGUCAGCUAAUGGCUCUAUGUAAAUGUCAACCUUUGUCUAAAGAAGAAAACUUGUCUCUUCAUGCAAAAUUAAAUAAUAGUGAUGCCUCCUAUUAAAUUUCUUUUAUAAAAGGCAUCAAAGGGGGGAAACUGAGGCAGAAAUUUAAAAAUAAAUAUGCAUUCAUUCACUCCAAGAAAAGUUAACAGGCAAGGCAAGGGUUAAAAAGAAAAGAACAAGUUUUCCUCGGCCUAGCAAGCUCACUUCAAGGACAGUUAUAAGAUAAUGUUGUUUGAGAAGCCAAGUCCAAAGGAAUGGGUUCCAGACAUCCCUCCCCUCUAGAACAAGGUUGAAGGAAAAAAAAAAAAAAAGAAGAAGACAAAUUCCUUUACUGUUACUCCUUUCCCUGGCUUCUUAAGCAUGAUUAUGUUUUACAAAUGUCUGUAUUUAGCCAGUUCUUGAUUUUCUUUUGACACAGCUCCAAGGCCACCAGCUAUGCAAGGCCACAAGUUAUGCACUAUAUGAUUAACUGCUUUUGUUUUACUUUUGUAAGUCCACUUAUAAAAACCCUGCUCUGUCUUUGUUUAAUGCUCAGCUUUUUGGAUUUGAAUCCACUCAGCCGGUGCACACCUUAAAAUAAACAUCCUCCUGUACUCUCAUAUUGGUCUCUCCAUUCCUCAGUUUCCCACAAGAUUACAAGCAUGAGCCACCGCACCGGGCCCAUUUUAACCAUUUUCAAAUGGAGAAUUCAGUGGUAUUAGGUACAUUUAUAUUGUUGUGCAACCAUCACCACUAUCCAUCUACAGAACUCUUUUUAUCUUGUGAAACUAAAACUCUAUACCCAUUAAACACUAACUCCUCACUCCUCCCUUCCCUCAUCACUUGACAGCCAUCCUUCUACUUUAUGUCUCUAUUCAUAGGUAUGAGCUCCCCCAUGCCUGCCCAAAUCACUAAUCUAAAAGGAAAUGUCAAGCUGAGAACUUCUUAGGGCAAACCUGCCUCCCAUUCUAUUCAAAGUUACCCCUCUGCUCAGAGAUAAAUGCAUAUCUCAUUGCCUCCUUUGGAGAAGCUAAUCAGAAACUCAAAAGAAUGCAACCAUUUGUCUCUUUUCUACCUAUGACCUGGAAGCCCCCUCCCUGCUUUGAGCUGUCCCGCCUUUCUGGACCAAACCAAUGUUCAUCUUACAUAUAUUAACUGAUGUCUCAUUUCUCCCUAAAAUGUAUAAAACCAAGCUAUGGUCUGACUACCCUGGGCACAUGACAUCAGGACCUCCUGAGACUGCGCCAUGGGUGCACAUCCUCAACUGUGGCAAAAUAAACUUUAUUUUUUAUUUUUAUUUAUUUUUUAGAGACAGAGUCUCGCUCUGUAGCCCAGGCUGGAGUACAGUGAUGCAGUCUCGACUCACUGCAACCUCCACCUCCCAGGUUCAAACAAUUCUCGUGCCUCAGCCUCCUGAGUAGCUGGAAUUACAGGCUUGCGCCACCACACCCGGUUAAUUAGCAAAAUAAAUUUUCUAAAUUAACUAAGACUUGUCUCAAAUUACUGGGGUUAACAUUUUGGUAACCACAGAGGGACUCUGCAUGGAGGAACACUUGAACUUUGACAAAUCUUUUACUGGUGUUUGGUAUCAGCAUAAGCUAACUUUAUGAAUAGUUUGCUGAGGCCUGGGAGCACUCCUUCCAGAGAAUCCCUGCUCUCCCAAAGUUUGGUUGAGAUCUAAAGUUUAUUUUGCUGUACAACUCCCUCUUAUUUAUUUUUUUUUUUUUUGGAGUUUUACUUGCUUCCAACAAGAAAGGCAAGUUUUCCUGCUUCCAUGACAAUGGAAGGCAGGUAAUUCCUUUAUGGAGUUUGAGCUUGCUUCCAACAGAAAAGACUAUUUUUUUUUUCCUGCUUCUAGGACGUAGAGAGUAGUCUUCAGCCUGAGACCCAUCCCUAGGUAAGUAGCUGAAUUGAGGUUUUGUCUUGGCUAAAGUUAACAACCAAAUGGUCAUAAUUUCUCCUUACUGUUAAAGUGUUCAGUAAUCAUGUAAGUUGUGUGAUCAUUUGUUUUGUUUAACUGUUUUUCGUUGUUGUUGUUUCUGUUUUUGUUGUUGUUUGGGUCUUUGUCCCAUUAGGUUUGACCAACUCUAUCAGACUUGAUCAAAUCUGAAGGAAAGUUCCAAAUUAUGGGGAAGGCCUAUCAAAUACUUAAAUUCCCAUACACACACAAAAAGGUGGUAUGGUGGGGGAGAAAAACUGCCAGCAAAAAGAAAAAAGAGGUAAGAUUUUUGAUUUUGAGUACUACACGGGCUUUAUUUACAAGGCCACCUUUUAGCUAGCCAGGCCAAUCUGAAAGAGCAAUGGUUGUACUUCUGAAAUAGCAGCAAUUUUAAAAACAAAAGCAAACAAACAAAAAAUUAAAAACAAAAAAAUAAAGGCAGCAGCAGUGGCUCAUGCCUGUAAUCCUAGCACUUUGGGAGGCCGAGGCAGACGGAUUGCCUGAGCUCAGGAGUUCGCAACCAGCCUGGGCAACAUGGUGAAACCCUGCCUCUACUAAAAUACAAAAAAUUAGCCGGACAUGGCGGUGUGCACCUGUAGUCCCAGCUACUCAGGAGGCUGAGGGAGGAAAAUUGCUUGAACCCAGGAGGCAGAGGUUGUAGUGAGCUGAGACUGCACCACUGCACUCCAGCCUGGGCAACAGAGCGAGACUCCGUCUCAAAAAAAAAAAAAAAAAGAAAAUGAAAAUGAAAUACAAAAAUCAGCUGGGCAUGGUGGCACAUGCCUGUAAUCCUGCCUACUCAAGAAGCUGAGGCAGGAGAAUCACUUGAACCCAGGGGCAGAGGUUGCAGUGAGCUGAGAUCGUGCCAUUGCACUCCAGCCUGGGCAACAGAGCAAGACUCCAUCUCAAAAAAAGAAAAAAGAAAAGCAGAUGAAAUAGCACCAAUUUGUUCCAGUUGAAAUAUGGUAAUGAGAUUUAAAAACUUCUUUUUUUAAAGGAGCUCAUUUGUUAAAGCCAACUUAAUUAAAAGCUAACAUCCA